Molecule: transfer RNA, 71 nt
Filed under: Candidatus Aenigmatarchaeota archaeon
Lineage: Archaea; Nanobdellati; Candidatus Aenigmatarchaeota
Description: tRNA-Gly
Rfam family: tRNA
About the family: Transfer RNA (tRNA) molecules are approximately 80 nucleotides in length. Their secondary structure includes four short double-helical elements and three loops (D, anti-codon, and T loops).
Source: RNAcentral
GCGCUUGUAGUCUAGCGGUAGGAUACGACCUUGCCAAGGUCGCGACCCGGGUUCAAAUCCCGGCAGGCGCA